GACGAACGCUGGCGGCGUGCUUAACACAUGCAAGUCGAACGGAAAGGCGCUGCUUCUUGCUGUUUCUCGAGUGGCGAACGGGUGAGUAACACGUGAGUAAGCUGCCCUCGACUGUGGGAUAACAUCAGCAAACUGGGGCUAAUACCAGAUAGUAGCUUCGGCUGCACGGUGGGGGUUGGAAAGGUUCGGCGGUCGGUGAUGGACUCGCGGCUGAUCAGCUUGUUGGUGGGGGAGUGGCUCACCACGGCUCUGAGGGGUCGCCGGCCUGAGAGGGUGACCGGCGACAUUGGGACUGAGAGACGGCCCAGACGCGUACGGGGGGCAGCAGUGGGGAAUAUUGCACAGUGGGCGGAAGCCUGAUGCAGCAACGCCGCGUGCGGGAUGACGGCCUUCGGGUUGUAAACGGCUUUCAGCUGUGACGAAGCGUGAGUGACGGUAAUGGGUAAAGAAGCACCGGCUAACUACGUG
Molecule: ribosomal RNA, 468 nt
Filed under: uncultured bacterium
Lineage: Bacteria
Description: partial 16S ribosomal RNA
Rfam family: Bacterial small subunit ribosomal RNA
Source: RNAcentral